GAUGAACGCUGGCGGCGUGCCUAAUACAUGCAAGUCGAGCGAACAGACGAGGAGCUUGCUCCUCUGACGUUAGCGGCGGACGGGUGAGUAACACGUGGAUAACCUACCUAUAAGACUGGGAUAACUUCGGGAAACCGGAGCUAAUACCGGAUAAUAUAUUGAACCGCAUGGUUCAAUAGUGAAAGACGGUUUUGCUGUCACUUAUAGAUGGAUCCGCGCCGCAUUAGCUAGUUGGUAAGGUAACGGCUUACCAAGGCGACGAUGCGUAGCCGACCUGAGAGGGUGGUCGGCCACCCUGGAACUGAGACACGGUCCAGACUCCUACGGGAGGCAGCAGUAGGGAAUCUUCCGCAAUGGGCGAAAGCCUGACGGAGCAACGCCGCGUGAGUGAUGAAGGUCUUCGGAUCGUAAAACUCUGUUAUUAGGGAAGAACAAAUGUGUAAGUAACUAUGCACGUCUCGACGGUACCUAAUCAGAAAGCCACGGCUAACUACGUG
Molecule: ribosomal RNA, 497 nt
Filed under: uncultured bacterium
Lineage: Bacteria
Description: partial 16S ribosomal RNA
Rfam family: Bacterial small subunit ribosomal RNA
Source: RNAcentral